RNAcentral lists this ribosomal RNA (655 nucleotides) under Limosilactobacillus fermentum. RNAcentral describes it as "bacterial SSU rRNA". It matches the Rfam family "Bacterial small subunit ribosomal RNA", at positions 50 to 672 of the family's 1533-position model. The record is from RNAcentral. Lineage: Bacteria; Bacillati; Bacillota; Bacilli; Lactobacillales; Lactobacillaceae.
CUUGCAUGCUCGCCUUCAAUUGCUUGAAGGUGCUUGCACCUGAUUGAUCUUGGUCGCCAACGAGUGGCGGACGGGUGAGUAACACGUAGGUAACCUGCCCAGAAGCGGGGGACAACAUUUGGAAACAGAUGCUAAUACCGCAUAACAACGUUGUUCGCAUGAACAACGCUUAAAAGAUGGCUUCUCGCUAUCACUUCUGGAUGGACCUGCGGUGCAUUAGCUUGUUGGUGGGGUAAUGGCCUACCAAGGCGAUGAUGCAUAGCCGAGUUGAGAGACUGAUCGGCCACAAUGGGACUGAGACACGGCCCAUACUUCUACGGGAGGCAGCAGUAGGGAAUCUUCCACAAUGGGCGCAAGCCUGAUGGAGCAACACCGCGUGAGUGAAGAAGGGUUUCGGCUCGUAAAGCUCUGUUGUUAAAGAAGAACACGUAUGAGAGUAACUGUUCAUACGUUGACGGUAUUUAACCAGAAAGUCACGGCUAACUACGUGCCAGCAGCCGCGGUAAUACGUAGGUGGCAAGCGUUAUCCGGAUUUAUUGGGCGUAAAGAGAGUGCAGGCGGUUUUCUAAGUCUGAUGUGAAAGCCUUCGGCUUAACCGGAGAAGUGCAUCGGAAACUGGAUAACUUGAGUGCAGAAGAGGGUAGUGGAACUCCUG